RNAcentral lists this ribosomal RNA (1509 nucleotides) under metagenome. RNAcentral's name for it is "bacterial SSU rRNA". It matches the Rfam family "Bacterial small subunit ribosomal RNA". The record is from RNAcentral.
AGAAUUUGAUCUUGGUUCAGAUUGAACGCUGACGGCGUGGAUGAGGCAUGCAAGUCGAACGGUGUUGUGAGCUUGCUCAUAACAUAGUGGCGAAAGGGUUAGUAAUACAUGGAUAACCUGCCUUUAACUUUGGGAUAACGGCUGGAAACGGCCGCUAAUACCGGAUGUGGUGGUGAUACUGAGUGGUGUUAUCAUUAAAGUGGGGGAUCGCAAGACCUUGCGGUUAAAGAGGGGUCCAUGGGAUAUCAGCUUGUUGGUGUGGUAAAUGCGCACCAAGGCAGAGACGUCUAGGCGAGUUGAGAGAUUGACCGCCAACACUGGGACUGAGACACUGCCCAGACUCCUACGGGAGGCUGCAGUCGAGAAUCAUUCGCAAUGGGCGAAAGCCUGACGAUGCGACGCCGUGUGAACGAAGAAGGCUCUAGGGUUGUAAAGUUCUUUCGCUUGGGAACAAGAGAAGUUGGCUAAUAUCCAGCUGAUUUGAGGGUACCAGGUAAAGAAGCACCGGCUAACUCCGUGCCAGCAGCUGCGGUAAUACGGAGGGUGCGAGCGUUAAUCGGAUUUAUUGGGCGUAAAGGGCGUGUAGGUGGAAGUAAAAGUCAUAUGUGAAAUCCCGGGGCUUAACCUCGGAACUGCAUAUGAAACUCUAUUUCUUGAGGGUAGGCGGAGAAAACGGAAUUUCACGUGUAGCGGUGAAAUGCGUAGAUAUGUGGAAGAACACCUGUGGCGAAAGCGGUUUUCUAGCUUAUACCUGACACUGAGGCGCGAAAGCCAGGGGAGCGAACAGGAUUAGAUACCCUGGUAGUCCUGGCUGUAAACGAUGCAUACUUGGUGUAGCUGGCAUCAACCCCAGCUGUGCCGUAGCUAACGCGUUAAGUAUGCCGCCUGGGGAGUACACUCGCAAGGGUGAAACUCAAAAGAAUUGACGGGGGCCCGCACAAGCAGUGGAGUAUGUGGUUUAAUUCGAUGCAACGCGAAGAACCUUACCCAGGUUUGACAUGCAGUAGACGACAUCAGAGAUGGUGUUUCCCUUUGGGCCGCUGCACAGGUGCUGCAUGGCUGUCGUCAGCUCGUGCCGUGAGGUGUUGGGUUAAGUCCCGCAACGAGCGCAACCCUUAUCAUUAGUUGCCAGCAUGUAACGAUGGGAACUCUAAUGAGACUGCCUAGGUUAACUAGGAGGAAGGUGAGGAUGACGUCAAGUCAGCAUGGCCCUUAUGUCUGGGGCUACACACGUACUACAAUGGCCGAUACAGAAGGCGGCGAAGCCGUGAGGUGGAGCAAAUCCUUAAAAUCGGUCUCAGUUCGGAUUGUAGUCUGCAACUCGACUACAUGAAGUUGGAAUUGCUAGUAAUGGCGUGUCAGCAAUAACGCCGUGAAUACGUUCCCGGGCCUUGUACACACCGCCCGUCACAUCAUGGGAGUUGGUUUUACCCGAAGUCACUGACUUAACUGCAAGGAGAGAGGUGCCUAAGGUAAGGCUGAUGACUGGGAUGAAGUCGGAACAAGGUA